UACGAAGGGGGCUAGCGUUGCUCGGAAUUACUGGGCGUAAAGGGCGCGUAGGCGGCACUGUUAGUCAGGCGUGAAAGUCCUGGGCUCAACCUGGGAACUGCGCUUGAUACGGCAGAGCUAGAGGAUGGAAGAGGCUCGCGGAAUUCCCAGUGUAGAGGUGAAAUGCGUAGAUAUCAGGAGGAACACCUGCGGUGUAGACGGCUUACUGGACCAUAACUGACGCUGAGGCACGAAAGCGUGGGUAGCAAACAGG
This 253-nucleotide ribosomal RNA is filed under the name uncultured bacterium. RNAcentral describes it as "partial 16S ribosomal RNA". It matches the Rfam family "Bacterial small subunit ribosomal RNA", at positions 524 to 776 of the family's 1533-position model. The record is from RNAcentral.